UGAAAGCCCGGAUAGCUCAGUCGGUAGAGCAUUG
RNAcentral lists this small RNA (34 nucleotides) under Bombyx mori (domestic silkworm). RNAcentral's name for it is "ovarian small RNA-2133". Lineage: Eukaryota; Metazoa; Arthropoda; Insecta; Lepidoptera; Bombycidae. The record is from RNAcentral.